UACGUAGGGGGCAAGCGUUGUCCGGAAUCAUUGGGCGUAAAGAGCGUGUAGGCGGCCAGAUAAGUCCGCUGUGAAAACUCGAGGCUCAACUUCGAGCUGUCGGUGGAAACUAUUUGGCUAGAGUCCGGAAGGGGAGAGUGGAAUUCCUGGUGUAGCGGUGAAAUGCGCAGAUAUCAGGAAGAACACCCGUGGCGAAGGCGGCUCUCUGGUACGGAACUGACGCUGAGACGCGAAAGCGUGGGGAGCGAACAGG
RNAcentral lists this ribosomal RNA (253 nucleotides) under uncultured bacterium. RNAcentral describes it as "partial 16S ribosomal RNA". It matches the Rfam family "Bacterial small subunit ribosomal RNA", at positions 524 to 776 of the family's 1533-position model. The record is from RNAcentral.